AAAAGCCAAAUAUCCUCAAUGGAGAGGCCCUCCACGUCAGAAAAAAUAAUCAACCAAUGAUAGAGCUUUAUCUCUCCUUAGAGAGUACCACGUUAGAUAAUAAAGAGAGGAGAGCCUUUUCAGUUCUCCUUCUCACCAAGAAACGUAUGCAGUUAUGAAAAUCAAUCAACGACUUCCACUCCAUGAGCUUCAAUCCUCUUUAUCACUCUGAUUGAGUAUAUAUAGAAGUUGCCAUGGAGGUAGAAGAGCAUUUUCUUUCUUUGCUCAUGACCCUUCUUCCUCUCUCCCUCGAUUGUUUUAAUUUCGUCCCAAUGGCGGCGAACUCGACGAUCCGGUUACCCAUUGGUCUAUGGAUCAUCACAAGUUCCCGGGAAUGGCUUCAACGCACGAGAAAUGUGGCCUUGGUCUUCUAGGUCAGAGUCGUGCCCCUUCAUUUCCCUAUUUCAGUGAUUGGAAAUUCGAUUACCAAUCGGAUCUGAAACCUAAGAUUUGAUCCAGUUUAUGAUCUGAGUAAAGUCAAACUAUCAUAUUCUUCUUGCUACUGGUUGAUGGAAAGCCAUAGGUUUUGCUACAGGAAGGAUAAUUCUCGGAUAGACUGAAGUGGUGCAAAACAGAGACUUCAAUAAAGUUUGGAAAUGUGGCAGAUGUGCCACUAUUUAUAAUCCUGUGGGGAUACUAGAAGGUUUUGCAUUGCCUUGGUCAUGGUUGCAUAAUCCUUCGGUUGCUAACAGAGCCAAUGGUUUACUUCACCCUGAAGAGCUUUUUGUACAGGCUUGGUACACCCCCAAGACGAACGGUUAACUCGGUGGUUUGAUAUAAGCUGCGGGUGAAUGAAAUGAUGGUAACUUCUGGAUUGAUCUCCCUCAGUGGGAUAUUCACAGGCAUGUGAUGUGGACUUUCUUUCUGUUUAUUGGCACAUCGACGCUCAAUCCACUUUACACAUGACCGCAUCAGGGAGUACGUUGGUAACGUCGAACAUAUUGCCUUCCAGAUAAGCAAAUUUAACGGCUAGGUGCUUAGAUGUUCUUCUCCCAGCAUAGCCGUGGCGGAUCGGCUGAUAUAUCUGAUCGGCUGAGCCAUUGCCAAGGGUGAACAAGAAGGGUGGUAGGGUCAGUUACAUGAUCAAGCCAAGGUUUAUGAGCUUCAAGCCAUGUUUGCAGGGGAAGCAACAUAUAUAACCCACUACUCUACAAUUCAUGGGGCUUACUUUCAUGGUUUCAAGGAAGCCAAUAGGCUUCUCAAGCAUUAAAAAGUGAUCUUUGAGUGUUUGUUUUAAGAUAUGUAUUUUUGGUCAAUGUGUUUAGAAAAGCUUAAUCAGUUUUGUAAGAUUUUUUUUUAAGAGAGAAUAAACUUAUAUUACAUGUCACGAUUUUUUAUCGAGUAUGAAGCAUAUAAAAGAAGUGGAGAACAGUUGUAAACUCAUCCAUGAGUUUUCAAAGAGUUGAGAAGGUUAGAAAACACUUUCUGAACAUCCAUAAAUAAAUUGAAAUUCUUUUUAAUAAAAACAUUCCGUUAAACAUAAUUAUGCCCCACAAUUGAUCUCGCAAUGGAGUUUAACUUAAUGUUUCACAUGAUUAAAAAUUGCUCACAACAACCACAAAUUCAAUUCAGACAUGAUAACAUAUAAACAAUUGUUCUAAAAACAUAUAAUGUUCUAAAAACCCAAAACAAGUAUCCAUUUUGUAAAAAAAAAGAUAUACAAAAUACACCGUAAAAAUUUCAAACUUCAGAAACAAUUGUUAAAAGUGAAUUAGUCAAACUGAAUGACAAUGUACCCAAACCACGGGGUACCUUAAUCUCAUGAAGCUUUAACUAAGCUAUCUACUAUAAAAGUCAUUCAAUAAUUAUAGCAACACACAAUUGACCAACCAAUUAUGGAUUACUAAUU
Brassica napus (rape) is the source of this 1888-nucleotide long non-coding RNA. RefSeq lists it as uncharacterized. The transcript has 3 exons. The record is from RefSeq and is a predicted model, not a curated record. Lineage: Eukaryota; Viridiplantae; Streptophyta; Magnoliopsida; Brassicales; Brassicaceae.